UACGUAGGGUGCAAGCGGUAAUCGGAAUUACUGGGCGUAAAGCGUGCGCAGGCGGUGAUGUAAGACAGUUGUGAAAUCCCCGGGCUCAACCUGGGAACUGCAUCUGUGACUGCAUCGCUGGAGUACGGUAGAGGGGGAUGGAAUUCCGCGUGUAGCAGUGAAAUGCGUAGAUAUGCGGAGGAACACCGAUGGCGAAGGCAAUCCCCUGGACCUGUACUGACGCUCAUGCACGAAAGCGUGGGGAGCAAACAGG
This 253-nucleotide ribosomal RNA is filed under the name uncultured bacterium. Its description in RNAcentral is "partial 16S ribosomal RNA". It matches the Rfam family "Bacterial small subunit ribosomal RNA", at positions 524 to 776 of the family's 1533-position model. The record is from RNAcentral.